CAUAGAUAUCACGCAGAACUCCGAUUGCGAAGGCAGCAUACCGGCGCUCAACUGACGCUCAUGCACGAAAGCGUGGGUAUCGAACAGGAUUAGAUACCCUGGUAGUCCACGCAGUAAACGAUGAAUACUAACUGUCCGGGCCGAUUGAGGUCUGGUUGGUACAGCGAAAGCGUUAAGUAUUCCACCUGGGGAGUACGCCGGCAACGGUGAAACUCAAAGGAAUUGACGGGGGCCCGCACAAGCGGAGGAACAUGUGGUUUAAUUCGAUGAUACGCGAGGAACCUUACCCGGGCUCAAACGACGGAUGGAUGUCUCUGAAAGGAGGCAGUCCUACGGGACAUCCGUCGAGGUGGUGCAUGGUUGUCGUCAGCUCGUGCCGUGAGGUGUCGGCUUAAGUGCCAUAACGAGCGCAACCCCCAUCGCCAGUUACCAGCAAGUGAAGUUGGGGACUCUGGCGAGACUGCCGGCGCAAGCUGUGAGGAAGGCGGGGAUGACGUCAAAUCAGCACGGCCCUUACGUCCGGGGCGACACACGUGUUACAAUGGCAGGUACAGAGAGAAGCGAUGCGGCGACGCAUAGCGGAACUUCAAAGCCUGUCUCAGUUCGGAUUGGAGUCUGCAACCCGACUCCAUGAAGCUGGAUUCGCUAGUAAUCGCGCAUCAGCCACGGCGCGGUGAAUACGUUCCCGGGCCUUGCACACACCGCCCGUCAAG
This 713-nucleotide ribosomal RNA is filed under the name uncultured bacterium. Its description in RNAcentral is "bacterial SSU rRNA". It matches the Rfam family "Bacterial small subunit ribosomal RNA", at positions 689 to 1401 of the family's 1533-position model. The record is from RNAcentral.